This 217-nucleotide long non-coding RNA is filed under the name Ananas comosus (pineapple). Its description in RNAcentral is "long non-coding RNA (ACOM_LNC030468)". Lineage: Eukaryota; Viridiplantae; Streptophyta; Magnoliopsida; Poales; Bromeliaceae. The record is from RNAcentral.
AGAGUUGAGAUUUAAGACAUGUGUCAUUGGUGGUUAAUUCCUAAAUGCUCCCGAUCAUGGAUCAUUACGGGGACGAUGAUUGAUCAGGUGAGAUUGGUGCAUAGGUCGCUUCCUCUUUUGGGUAGACGAGUCUCGAGUCGACAGUGUGCGGACACUGAAGCGAAUAUGUAAGUGGUUGUUAGAGAAUAAAGGUACCGAGCGUGACCAACGCUAGAAG